AUUAGAGUUUGAUCCUGGCUCAGGACGAACGCUGGCGGCGUGCUUAACACAUGCAAGUCGAGCGGAAAGGCCCUUCGGGGUACUCGAGCGGCGAACGGGUGAGUAACACGUGGGCAACCUGCCCUCAGCUCUGGGAUAACUCCGGGAAACCGGGGCUAAUACCGGAUACGACCUUCCCUCGCAUGGGGGUUGGUGGAAAGUUCUUCGGCUGAGGAUGGGCCCGCGGCCUAUCAGCUUGUUGGUGGGGUGAUGGCCUACCAAGGCGACGACGGGUAGCCGGCCUGAGAGGGCGACCGGCCACACUGGGACUGAGACACGGCCCAGACUCCUACGGGAGGCAGCAGUGGGGAAUAUUGCGCAAUGGGCGGAAGCCUGACGCAGCGACGCCGCGUGAGGGAUGAAGGCCUUCGGGUUGUAAACCUCUUUCAGCAGGGACGAAGCGGGAGUGACGGUACCUGCAGAAGAAGCACCGGCCAACUACGUGCCAGCAGCCGCGGUAAUAAU
RNAcentral lists this ribosomal RNA (504 nucleotides) under uncultured bacterium. Its description in RNAcentral is "bacterial SSU rRNA". It matches the Rfam family "Bacterial small subunit ribosomal RNA", at positions 1 to 526 of the family's 1533-position model. The record is from RNAcentral.